RNAcentral lists this ribosomal RNA (366 nucleotides) under uncultured Streptococcus sp. RNAcentral describes it as "bacterial SSU rRNA". It matches the Rfam family "Bacterial small subunit ribosomal RNA", at positions 1018 to 1382 of the family's 1533-position model. The record is from RNAcentral. Lineage: Bacteria; Bacillati; Bacillota; Bacilli; Lactobacillales; Streptococcaceae.
CUUUCGGUACUAUCGGUGACAGGUGGUGGCAUGGUUGUCGUCAGCUCGUGUCGUGAGAUGUUGGGUUAAGUCCCGCAACGAGCGCAACCCCUAUUGUUAGUUGCCAUCAUUCAGUUGGGCACUCUAGCGAGACUGCCGGUAAUAAACCGGAGGAAGGUGGGGAUGACGUCAAAUCAUCAUGCCCCUUAUGACCUGGGCUACACACGUGCUACAAUGGUUGGUACAACGAGUUGCGAGUCGGUGACGGCGAGCUAAUCUCUUAAAGCCAAUCUCAGUUCGGAUUGUAGGCUGCAACUCGCCUACAUGAAGUCGGAAUCGCUAGUAAUCGCGGAUCAGCACGCCGCGGUGAAUACGUUCCCGGGCCUU